CAGAUGUUGCUUCCAAAGUCCUCCGUCCUUCAGCUCCAAAUUGGACGACGAUGCUCAACAUCUGCUGACCCGUCAUCUAGAAGACCACCCUCCUGCCAAUUUUAGAUGGAAUUUUGAUCGAAUUUUUUGGAAUACUUCUGUAACUUUUGAGAAAAGAAACUUUCUUCAGUGUCCAGCUGCAGCCUCCUGUGAGCACCUGACCCUUGUUUGAGAACGCUGGAGUCUGUUGCUAUGGAAAUGUACUCAAGUCAGACUGCAACAGGAGGACCUCUGGCUGUUGUUUGAAUACUUGAAGACCCUCCCACAAGAACUUCUACUAUACAUUUGAGAGGGAGAGGUCUCAAGACACGCAUGGAGAAGCUAAUCCUAACAGCAAUAAUAUGACAACAUCUGGACUUCUUACACAGUGCUCUGUGCUUUCCCAUGCACUGCCUUUCUCAACCCUCUUUUCCCUUGAUUUUCUAAUAGUUGCAUCUUUAUCAAUUUUUUAAUAUGUGAAGCCAAGAAUUCUUCUCCCAUUAAAAACCAGUUUUCUGGGCUUCCCUGGUGGUGCAGUGGUUGAGAAUCCGCCUGCCAGUGCAGGGGAUACGGGUUCGAUCCCUGGUCCGGGAAGAUCCCGCA
This is a long non-coding RNA of Aethalodelphis obliquidens (Pacific white-sided dolphin), 621 nucleotides long. RefSeq lists it as uncharacterized. Lineage: Eukaryota; Metazoa; Chordata; Mammalia; Artiodactyla; Delphinidae. The record is from RefSeq and is a predicted model, not a curated record. The transcript has 3 exons.